GCUGACGAGUGGCGGACGGGUGAGUAAUGUCUGGGAAACUGCCUGAUGGAGGGGGAUAACUACUGGAAACGGUGGCUAAUACCGCAUAACGUCGCAAGACCAAAGAGGGGGACCUUCGGGCCUCUUGCCAUCAGAUGUGCCCAGAUGGGAUUAGCUUGUUGGUGAGGUAACGGCUCACCAAGGCGACGAUCCCUAGCUGGUCUGAGAGGAUGACCAGCCACACUGGAACUGAGACACGGUCCAGACUCCUACGGGAGGCAGCAGUGGGGAAUAUUGCACAAUGGGCGCAAGCCUGAUGCAGCCAUGCCGCGUGUAUGAAGAAGGCCUUCGGGUUGUAAAGUACUUUCAGCGGGGAGGAAGGGAGUAAGGUUAAUAACCUUAUUCAUUGACGUUACCCGCAGAAGAAGCACCGGCUAACUCCGUGCCAGCAGCCGCGGUAAUACGGAGGGUGCAAGCGUUAAUCGGAAUUACUGGGCGUAAAGCGCACGCAGGCGGUCUGUCAAGUCGGAUGUGAAAUCCCCGGGCUCAACCUGGGAACUGCAUUCGAAACUGGCAGGCUUGAGUCUUGUAGAGGGGGGUAGAAUUC
Molecule: ribosomal RNA, 586 nt
Filed under: Salmonella enterica subsp. enterica serovar Kentucky
Lineage: Bacteria; Pseudomonadati; Pseudomonadota; Gammaproteobacteria; Enterobacterales; Enterobacteriaceae
Description: bacterial SSU rRNA
Rfam family: Bacterial small subunit ribosomal RNA
Source: RNAcentral